CAGCAGCCGCGGUAAAACGUAGGGUGCGAGCGUUAAUCGGAAUUACUGGGCGUAAAGCAUGCGCAGGCGGUUCGUUAAGACAGAUGUGAAAUCCCCGGGCUUAACCUGGGAACUGCAUUUGUGACUGGCGAGCUAGAGUAUGGCAGAGGGGGGUAGAAUUCCACGUGUAGCAGUGAAAUGCGUAGAGAUGUGGAGGAAUACCGAUGGCGAAGGCAGCCCCCUGGGCCAAUACUGACGCUCAUGCACGAAAGCGUGGGGAGCAAACAGGAUUAGAUACCCCCGUAGUCCCUGUCUCUUAUAA
This 301-nucleotide ribosomal RNA is filed under the name uncultured bacterium. Its description in RNAcentral is "partial 16S ribosomal RNA". It matches the Rfam family "Bacterial small subunit ribosomal RNA", at positions 509 to 809 of the family's 1533-position model. The record is from RNAcentral.